GCCAAAAUUAAUAUGUAAUGAUUUAACGCUCAGCAGAUGUUGCAGCAAAAGAAGUUGGGGCACUGCCGUCAUUUAAAGAACUCUCUGGGUUGCUCUCUCGUCUAUUGUGGCCACCCUGCUCAUUAGAACCUUGAUUUGUAACACCAUCCUCUCUGGUUUCAAGGCGUUGCAUCAUACGUGAUACACUGGCAAUUCCUGCAUUUACUUCUCUUCGAACUUCAGAACCAAGUUCUGACAUGGAAGUGUUGCG
RNAcentral lists this unclassified non-coding RNA (250 nucleotides) under Hevea brasiliensis (rubber tree). The record is from RNAcentral. Lineage: Eukaryota; Viridiplantae; Streptophyta; Magnoliopsida; Malpighiales; Euphorbiaceae.